GUGUCAGCAGCCGCGGUAAUACGUAGGGUGCGAGCGUUAAUCGGAAUUACUGGGCGUAAAGCGUGCGCAGGCGGUUAUAUAAGUCAGAUGUGAAAUCCCCGGGCUCAACCUGGGAACUGCAUUUGAGACUGUAUGACUAGAGUGUGGCAGAGGGGGGUGGAAUUCCACGUGUAGCAGUGAAAUGCGUAGAGAUGUGGAGGAACACCGAUGGCGAAGGCAGCCCCCUGGGCCAAUACUGACGCUCAUGCACGAAAGCGUGGGGAGCAAACAGGAUUAGAUACCCUGGUAGUCCACGCCCUAAACGAUGUCAACUAGGUGUUGGUGGGGUUAAACCCAUUAGUGCCGUAGCUAACGCGUGAAGUUGACCGCCUGGGGAGUACGGCCGCAAGGCUAAAACUCAAAGGAAUUGGCGG
RNAcentral lists this ribosomal RNA (413 nucleotides) under uncultured bacterium. RNAcentral's name for it is "bacterial SSU rRNA". It matches the Rfam family "Bacterial small subunit ribosomal RNA", at positions 505 to 916 of the family's 1533-position model. The record is from RNAcentral.